UGUGUAGGAGGAGGAGUAACUUUGUUGCCCAAAGCUUGUUGCACGCUACGGAACUGACUGACGUGCCAUCGACGGAUGCGUUCAUUCAUACAGUAGUAUUUACUCCUGCUGCCGUAGGCGCUGCGCACUAGGGCAAUAGCCGUGGUAGUUUCUUGCGGGAAGCGAACUCGAUACAGCAAAAGAGGCGCUGAACCCACGAGACGAGCCAAAGUUGUUCCAGUAGGAGAUUAAAUUUCUCUAGCUUCCCUAGUGGUGGUAAUACUACUACUACUCUAGUACGUUCUUGCGUGCCUUCUUGCCCAAGAAUCUGUAACACACGUUUGCUUGGUGAUGGUCAGGUUAGCCGGCGACAAAACGUUACCACUGUGUCUGGGUAACGGAACGCUCUGUUUCCAGCUCAAAAAGAAAAGAUGUCAUUCG
Molecule: long non-coding RNA, 420 nt
Filed under: Hordeum vulgare
Lineage: Eukaryota; Viridiplantae; Streptophyta; Magnoliopsida; Poales; Poaceae
Description: long non-coding RNA (HVUL_LNC011187)
Source: RNAcentral